Molecule: ribosomal RNA, 433 nt
Filed under: uncultured bacterium
Lineage: Bacteria
Description: partial 16S ribosomal RNA
Rfam family: Bacterial small subunit ribosomal RNA
Source: RNAcentral
AACGAACGCUGGCGGCAUGCCUAACACAUGCAAGUCGAACGAGACCUUCGGGUCUAGUGGCGCACGGGUGCGUAACGCGUGGGAACCUGCCCUUAGGUUCGGAAUAACUCCCCGAAAGGGGUGCUAAUACCGGAUAAUGUCUUCGGACCAAAGAUUUAUCGCCUUUGGAUGGGCCCGCGUUGGAUUAGCUAGUUGGUAGGGUAAAAGCCUACCAAGGCGACGAUCCAUAGCUGGUCUGAGAGGAUGAUCAGCCACACUGGGACUGAGACACGGCCCAGACUCGUACGGGAGGCAGCAGUGGGGAAUAUUGGACAGUGGGCGAAAGCCUGAGCCAGCAAGGCCGCGUGGGUGAUGAAGGCCUUAGGGUUGUAAAGCUCUUUUACCCGGGAUGAUAAUGACAGUACCGGGAGAAUAAGCACCGGCUAACUCCGUG